GCCAGCGCCGGCGGGACCCGAGCUGCUAAUGCCUCCAAUCAACAGAUCAGACAGCUUGUACUCACAGGCCAAGGACACGUGGAAAGAGGCUCAAUUUUCUAGAUGGGUGGCAACAGCCAUGAUCUUCUGUCCUCUGGGUCCCCACAAGCCUGGAUGAACUCAAGAUCUGACUCAGUGGCACAGUGAGGAGACCUUUGAGGCCUCAGUGACCAUCCUUGGACUUCACCUCUCACGGCUUUCAGGCAGAGAGGCCCUCCCAUGCCCACAACAGGCUGAGCCCAGCCUUCCUCGGGGUUUGCUUCCAGGCCUGACUUUUACUCCCCUUUCUAAGUGAUGGGAUGUGCUUCUCCACAGGAGGCCCCACGGCUUCCCCACCCCUCAGAGGAGCGCCGUGCGUGCGUCUGUGUGGAGGAUUGGCAGCUCCUGCAGUCGGCCCUUGGUCCUAUUUGGCGACGCCUCUGCCUUCCCCUUAAUUAUACAGUCAUGAGCCGCCCUGGAAUCACGGCAGCUCCGGAUGGAUCCUGGAUGCCAGAAUGCAGCCUCAGCACGGGGCUGCAGGACAGGAGUGAGCGAGGGGCUGCAGAGCCGGCGGCCGCGGUGGGCACCAUGGAGGGGGCUGCCCUGGGCAGCACGGGCAUGAGUCUCAAGGCCCAGGUUUGAGUAACAGGUGUUGAGAGCUUACUUACUUUUCCUGAGACACAGUUUCCUCAUCUCGAGAGCACGGAAAAUCAUUCUAACUUCAGAGGAUUGUUGUGAAAGUUAAAUGAGAUUAAAGAGGUAAAGCCCAUGACGUGCUUAGCUCGUGCUUGGCUCUUGGUCAAUGCCAGUUAGCGCUGCAUUUUCUCCCCUCUCCCUCCCUCCUUCUCUCUUUCUUUUCUUCUAUUCUCCAUUCCUGUUUUCUCCCCCACCCCACUCCCCAAAGCUCUGCGUUGAGAACCAGAUGCUGUCUGGUGGGUUAGGGCCAGAGGAGGAAAAGCUGCCCGCCGUGGGCUGCACCCAUACCCUCUUCAUUCCAAUGACAUGAGGGGAGGGGAAAGGACAGAGGUAGACUGUCCUCCCCUACCUCCUCCUAAUACAAAUGGAAUUCCUGGAACUGGAAAACAAAGAAUACCCCCAUAAAAAUAAGACAGUACUUCUGGUGCGGUGUAAUAAAGGGGAAAGUAACCCUCAAUGUCAGGAAACUCCGCACCUCCCAGCUCAUAUUUGUGUGGAGGAAAAGUUAAAUAUUAAUUUGGACUCAACUGAAUGUGGACACAAACAAUGGUCACCAAGUCCCGGAACAGGUUGUGUGAGCCUCUUCAGGGGUUCAUCCAGCGCUGUUUUGGAGAAAUCUCUAUUUCAAUUUAUUCCUAUACGUUAGUUACUGAAAAACAACAGACAAUCGCAAAAGCAAGUUGCCCGUUUUGUGUUCCUUGAGCCCAAUCAUGAAGUGCCGUCGUGACUGGGCCUCAUGACAAACAACUUGUAACAAGUAACAACAGAGCUCAGGUCCCAGACCGCACUGAAGCUCUGUGAGACCUCUCCUCAUCUGUGCAUGAACGAGUGUCUGACUCUGGAGCCCAGCCUGCUGCUUCCCAGUCUGGUGGUGAAUCCUCCGUAGUCUGAUGCUAAAAUUGACACCAAAAGCGUAGGUGAUGAGCUUGAAUCAGGUAAGAAUUAUAUUCUACUUCCAGCUAAAGAAGAGGAUAUAGAAGAUCAAUAGCUUAAACAAAACAGAAGGUUUGUUUCUCACCCUUCCUGUAAUAGAAAUCUGGCAAUGAGCAAACAUGGUAGUAUUUAUAUUCUGAGUUCUUGUCACAUUAUUUUCAUUUUCAGGUCUUCUCAUGGACUAAAACAGUGACAGUGAGUGCAACUCUACCUAUCAUGUUCAUAUUCUAGGUAGAAACUGGGGAAAAGAGAAAAGGCGGGAAAAAGGCGUUUCUCUACAAAGAUCACACAUAAUCUUCUGUCUGCAUCUCAUUGGUCGGCAUUUAGUCACAUGGCCAUAACUACCAGCAAGGGAAGCUGGGAAAUGUAGUUUUUCAAUGGCACAUUGCUACCCUUAAUAAAAUAAGGAUAUGCUACCAACAAAGAAUGAAUAUGGGAAAGGCCCCUAGCAAUGUCUGCUGCAUCUGCCACUGUGGUUUUCUCUGAUUUCCACAGACAUUGCUCUUCCACAUAGAGCGCAUUCUGAUUCCCAAGCCACCACUCCCAAAUCACACCCAGUUUCUGCAUCUAGCUUGUGUGUGGGCAGUCUGCUCCAUCAGUCCCAGAUGUGGCUUCUCAUGGCUGGUGACCUAUGAACUAAAAGACAGGCCAUUUUUUUCCCAACCUACCCUACCUUUUCUCCUUGAGAGGAAAGAUAAAAUAACCACAAUUUAAAAAUGUCAAUCUUCCAUUCAGAAAAGGGAGGAAAGAGAAACACAGAGAUCACUGGUUUACAGUGAUGGACCCACCCUGCUAGGCAGGAGUGAAAAGGCCUCUCCGUCCGGCAGUGGACUGGGUUCCUUGGCUGGCCCAUGUGGUCCCCACCCACUGUCUCCAGGAGCAUCGCCUUGAACUGUGUCUUCAUGGCUUUUGGCUCCGCCUUCAGAAGGGUCCUCCCUGUCAAUCAUCCUCCAUUGCCACCUCUGAUGUGGGCACUAGGGAGCUGGUCCUUCCCAGAGGAUGCAUGAUUUUGACACCGUGCAGUGUGGGAUGUUGGACCAGGGAAUCCAGCAUAUUUUCGGGCUUUUGUAGUCUCAGACUGGGCCUGAGAUUUCUUUAGAAAUAUAUUAACGGUUCCUUCAACACUCCAAUGGGCAUAUAGCCUAUUUACUUCUGAUCAUUGUAAUGUGCAAAUAACCACAGCCCCAUUUCUUUGUGUCCAGAUGCAGUUUUUAGGCUUGAAUAUUCAUCUGUUUUACUCACUGGCCUCUGUCACUGAGUCUGUCCCCUUAGCUAUUAAAUUAAUGGUGACUAUGAUAACACUUUUCACCCGAUCCUUGCUAGUGCAUUGACUUGCGUUGUCUGCAUCGAGUUCUUAAAAGAUGCUUGGUAAAGUCUUGGGUCACAGUUUUAACUUCUGCUGGGGUUCCUGCUCCACAGCCCUCAUUUAGAACUGUUUCACUUUGGCUAUUGUUUAGCUUUGGGCCAUAUUUGGCUGUUUUUUAGCUUUGUAAAAAUGCUCAUUUAACGGACACAAGGCCUGGGUUAGAAAAUGUAGUAUUUCCUUCCCCCUCUGUUUGCGUAGGAGCUAGCGCUAGUGGAAGCCCAUCUCUCCCUUGCAGGAUUUUGUGGAAAGUGACGAAAAUAACUCAAACCACAUCAGUGUUCUGCUUGAUUUCCACCAUUCUUGGAUGCUAUAACUUCAGAAAGCACAUGAUCUAACUUCCCAAGGGACAGCAGGGCCUCGACCAAAUGCCGUUGUGCUGAGGGCUGCCGGCCGCCCCGCUAGGCUGCUGCACCCUCCCCGCGCUGCCCCACACCUUGCACAGAGCUCAGGCAGCAUUCUAGCACCAUCAGACAAAUUCUUCAUGAGUCAGAAAUCGCACCUGUCUCUUAAUAGCGAUCUGGCCUCAGGUGGCUGAAACACACAGGGUUGAAAUGCUGCGGUGCCUGCGCUCAUUGUGCGGUGAAGCCAUAGAGUCCGCGCUGAAACCCGGGGCGCCCGCCUCCUGUCCGCGCAGGCGCUGCACGCUGUCGCCGGGGCAGCUUCACUCAGCUUCAGCCUCUCCAUCUGCAGAGGAGGAGUAAUCCCGUGCUGCCUCAUGGGGCCGUUUCAAGAAGGAAAUGAGAUGUGGUAUAAAGUGUUAGAGGAGUAUUUAGUGUUAUUAUUAAUGUGUUUUCUCAUCUGGGAACAUGAUUUGCAUUUUAAGCAGAACUUCAACAUUUGGACUCAAAGGAGUGAUGUGGAUGGGGAGAAUUUCAGGCAUCGUGCAGGCUGGCAUUAGAAAUGCUCACCGGAAAUGGAGCACAGGCAGCAACUUCAGCCCCUAGAAUUCUUCCUCCUAUGUCACUUCCGUCCCUCAAACCCUUUCUGCAGCCCCUGUCCUCUCUCCUGCAAUGGCAGUGAGCAGGUGGUCUCCUGGUGUCUCUGGAAAAUUCCCAUAUGGAGUCCUGGUUGAGAUGAGCCAGAAGGCUAGGAAGGAGCCUACAGUCCCGGUCUCAGCGCCCAGGAGGUUUUUCUAAUGGAGUUGGCAUGCAGAAGCUGGGGCAUACCCUGGGAGCAGCCCUGUGGCUGGAUGAGGGAUGGACAGCAGCACUGGGCGGGUGGAGCCGGGUGCGAGGUCCCCACAGCCUGCCUCCCAGUCCCACUGGCCAGCCCGGGGAGGGUGCUGAAGACAGGCUUCCUCUCUGGUCAAGCUCUGGCUAGCUUGGCAAGUGCAGGCAGGACCCUGGACCUGCCAUAUGGUGCACAUUUUGAGGACAUCAUUAGCAGGUUUGGAAGGUUGUGAUUCUGGUUGUGGGAGAGAAGGAACCUGGGAGUUGAGCAGGUGGUGGGUGGAGCUAUGCAUGCAACUGAGUGUGAGGAGUGCUUUGGCCAUGCUAGGGUCUCCUCUGGGCUGGAAGCCUUGUCUUCAAGAGGGUUGGGGUAGGAGGCUUUUUAUUAUAGUGGGAAGCCUCAAGCCUGGACCUGGGAAAACACUUUCUGGGUAUGAGGAAUUAAAAUAAACCUUGAAGCACUAUUUAGGAAGAACAUAGUAUCACUUCAUAGAUAUUUUCCCCCCUAAAUGGUUACAAAGUAAAAUGGCAGAGGUACAAAGAGGAAAAUGAAAACCACCCAAUCCCUUCCCUGAGCGAUGGCCCUGUUAUCCUUGGGCUCUGUGGCCAUCUGACCUCUCUCUGGGGACAGAAGUACAUGAGGAGAGGGGCCACUUCAUAAGACGGAGAUGCUCUCUUCCUGUUCCCUGCCUCUGCAUCGUGCUGGGGAUGUCUGUCCUCAUCAACUAAGAGACCCAUGUAGACCGCAGCUCUGAGAUCUUCUAUUUUUGUAAACAGAACAGUUUGUAGGGAGAUGUGAGAUGUUAGGUGGUGCUGGAGAGCCUGGGCUUUGUCUGUUUGGACAAGGCUCCAUCAAGGCAUCCUUUGUCCGACGGUGAGGCAUCUUGAGGGCUCUGGACCCAGAGCUGGUCCUGCAAGAGUCCUGUCUGAGAGCCCAGGCCCCACUCCACUAGGAGGGACAGGAGGGAACAGAGCAGAGCUGAGUCCCUUCACCUACCCAAACCCAUACAUGUUUCUAGAGCAGAGUAACUGCUUGUGAAACAGACCAUCAGAGCACAGGGCAGCACCGAGCUGCGUUCUGCAGGGCUCGGUCUAGGUGAUCUGGAGGGCUUGGGGAGCUGGCUUCUCCCCUCAUCCAGCAUGUAGCUACCCACAGCCACCUGCAUUUCACAGGGCCAGUGCCUAGGGACAUUGGGCCAGAAGCCAGAAUUUCUUUUUUCUUUUUUUUUUUCCCCUCUAGCAUUCACUACUAGCGCAAGCUAGUGCAUCCCAAAGUUUUGGCCCUGCGUGGAUAAUCAAUCCACAAUUUAUCUUCCGUCUGUUGCCAAAGUAAUUUAGCUAAAAUGCAGAUCUCAACUGGUCACUUCCCUGCGUAAAAGCUUCAAUAGCUUUCUAUCGCCUACAGGCAAAAGUCCCUCUUCUGAAAAGCGGCUUGCAAAGCCCUAGUAGCUGGCUCCAUGCCCCCCAGCAAUACGUGGCCUCCUCAGACGCAUCUUCUAGCAAAGGAGAGCUGCUCAGUGACAUCCACAAACCGAGCUGCUUCUCACCUACCUGUUUUCCUUCUCUUUGGGAUGCCCCCCGCCCUCACCUUCUGCUUCUGGCUAACUCCUAGGCAUCCUUGAAGGCUUGGCUCAGUAUCCUCUCCUCCAGGAAGCUGUCCCUCACCUUCUCUCCUUUCCCUCCAUCCCAGUCACCAUGCACCACACCCAUAUCCCCAUUGCAUCCUGCAGCUACCUUGUGCCUGCACACGUUGGGCUGGGCAUGCAUCUCCUUCUCUCUCAAGACCUGGAUCCCUUCACUUUGUGUCUCUGGACCCCCCAGUGUGCUGAUAAUGGGGUUGGAACCCAUCAUAUUUCUCUUGAACGAGUUAAUGAUGGGACUGCUAUUUCUCUAACUGUUGCCUUGGAGGCCCUGUCACGUGCUCAUGGAAGAGAGCCAGGGGGGUGGAGGUGAUUCUUGUUACCCAGAGGACGUGGGGUCUGGAUACACGUUUCUGCCAUCUGCCAUCUGCCAGCUUCUUUCUGGUUGGUAGCUUUGGAGCCUGGUGCAGCUGGGGCCAGUCCCGAGCCUGGACUCUGCUGGGCAGUGGCAAGAGCACUGUCUGGAGCUCUCCUGAGGAGCCCACAGAUCCAACUCCCUAGGCCAAGGCUGCAGCCUGGGGCAGAGAUGCAGAGGCCUGGAGGAGCCUAGGGCACGCGGCCUGCGGGCUGGCUGGGGUUCAGAGUUCGUAUGUGUGUGGAGUGACUGGGCAGGUGUUCAGAAAUGAAGGCUGGCACUGCCAGGUAAGGCCCUUCCCUCCCUGAUGUGAGAGCCCUGGAGCCACCGCAGAGGCCCAGUCAGAUCUCUGUUCUAAUUCUGGCCUGGUGUGGAGGAUGAGGAGAGACGGCCCAGAAAGGAAGGCAGACUGUGCAGACCCCAUGUCUUCUGGCCCGCGAGGCCCUCCUCCUGUGCCUGCUUAUCUUAAAGAAUCCGGGAUAAGAGGUGACUUGGGCCUUGGCCGGGAGGCCCCUCCUCAGCUUCAGACAAGGAGGGAGCUCUGGGCAUGAGGACAUUGAGCAAGAGGCGAUGGCAGUGCCCACAACUUACCCUCAGCUCGGCUCUGUUGGGUCCGAGAAGUUGCAUGGAAAGGGCUCCUUGGGGGCCAGUUGUCAGUAAGCUGCAGAAGCCUGGAGCCGGCCAGGAAAUAACCACGUGUAGGAGCCUUCUCAGCUGAGAGGAAGGAGGACUCACGCGCGGCGAGCACAUGCUUGGAGCCAGGCACAGAGUGAAGAUGCGCAGUUCUAAGGAAUUAUGCCCAAUGGCAGAAUUGGCAAGGGACAGGGAACUGUCCAGCAGAGAAGCUGCUGAAACCCUUCAGGGAACAUUCCAUUCCGCCAGGGCCCGGCUCUCACGCUCUGCUCUGCAGCGCAUCCGGUGCCAAGGAGGGGAGUAGCGAACGUUGACCUUGUCCCUAAGGAGCUUACACGCAGGGAGGUCAGCACAGACACUGGAAUAUCUAGGACUCUGCUAUCGAAAAACACAAUUGCUGGCACAUGGGUUCAGAAGACAGAGAAGGAAAAGAGCUGUAAAGAGUUGGGUGGGCUGAGGUUUGAAAUGGGCUUUAAUUAUGACUGGACACAAUUUGGUGACAAAUGGGUGAAAUUUCAAGCAGAAGAGGUAGCAUGAGCAAAAAGGGGUGUGCAGUCUUUGUGAAGAGAAGGGGGAGGGAGUGGCAAGGGAAUAGGACAGAGAGGAGGAGGAGGGAGAGGAAGCCAGAGAUAAGGAGCCAGGGGGGGAAGAAAAGGGCAGAAACGAAUGUGAAGGAGAUUCUGAAGACAAGCCACUGUGGUGGUCCAGGUGGUUCCAUGGUGCCGCGCCAAGCCAGGGGCUUGGAAUUUAGUCUGGGAGGAUGGUGCUGAGUAUGGAUGAGGAAGGAGAGGAAUGGAGAGGGGAGAAACGGGAAGGUACUUCACACUGAUUAAGCAAGCUCCUCACAGGGCUAUGACUUCUCCCUUCUCAGAAGGAGGUGCCCUGUGGCAUGCCUCUAGGCCCAGAGUUAAAGAGCUGGAGCCAUUAGGAGCAGCAAGGGGCUGCCUCCCCACUUGUCUGGUUACUUCUGGUUACUUCUCCCUCAGGGUAAGUCCUCAUGAGGGAUCAUCUCUGCCCAUGGAGCUGCUUCCGCUGCCCUUAGGCUGGUGUAAGAGGAAGGCUGUGUACCAGAGGUAGAUCUUGCUCCUAGUCCACCAGCAAAACACAUCCAGUUAUUUCUAUGCCUCAGUCUCCCUUCCCCACACUGAUCUCUUUAUUCCCCUACUACCUAGAAAUGGAAGGGAGACAAUGAGGUGGGAAAUAGAGUUUUUCGAAAGGUGUUUUUUGGAUAAGACAAAGGCCUCUCAGAGCAGAGCUGGCCAUUGGAAUGGUUUCCUUUUGUUAUUUAAUACCGGGGCUUUCACACAGGAGUUUAGCCCAGCUUUUAAGUCUUCAGUAUCAAAUAGUAGUUGGUGUCACAUCCCUGCUGAAAUACAGCCAUGAAAAUGUUUCUUAGUGAUAGAUUUAGGUUGUACUCCUUAAGAAAAGCCCAAAUGUCAAGAAUUGCUUCCCACUGGUACACUUUAUUGGGGAGAAGGGCAUCUCAAAUAGAAGGAUGGUUGGUCUGUCUAGAAAUGGUAAGAAUACUACAGGUUAAAGGCAGUGGUGGUCUGGACUAAAUGACCCCUGAAACUCGGAUUUUAUGGUGUUUUCAAUCUCUGGCUGAGUACAGGUUCCUCCCUCUCCCUUUGUGCCUCCUUGGGGACCUGGGCUAUUUUCUCCUCCGUGAAAGAGAAUGGAUACAUCCAUUAUGAAAACCAAUUGAUAUAAUUUGAGCCUGCAUGCAGGUAAAAACUAUAUUAAGAAGGUUUAUAAAAUCUAACCUUCUGGCUUAACAAGCUGAUUCUCAAAGUGGCCUCUCAGACCCUGGCUGAGGGAUGGUGGUCAGGGGUUGCAGAGGGACCCGCACAGCUGCUGAGGAGGCUGUGGGACAGGAGGCGCUAUCACUGUCUACCUCUUCCAUCCAUGCACCUGUGUGCAGGUGUGAGAAGGGCACCGUGCUGCAAAGAAGGGUCCUUUCCACCCUCUGCGGGUUGCUGCCGGCUCCCCGAUGCCUGCCUCUGAGGCCUGAGCCUGGGGCUGGGGAGUGUGCUGGCCUCACCUCUGGAGGAUACUGCCUCAGUGUUACAGCCUGACCCCCCACCUUGUCAUCACUGCCUACUACAGACCAGAGGGGACGGCCACAGAGACUCUGCAACCAUGGGCUCUGCCCUUCUUCCUUCUGCCUGUGUAUCUGUGAAAAACUUUUUUUUUUUUAAAUGGAGAAAGCUACCUUGACUUCUCAGAGAGUUGAAUGGGGUCAGGGGAUAGAAUCUAUAUUUUUUAGUUAUGGGCACUUACCCAUAUUCAAAAAGAUUUGAGGAGGCUGGCAGAAUGGAGCUGGGAGAAGAAAACCCUCCCCUGGGAGGAAGCUGUCCUGUGCAUGUUGGCCAGGCUGCCUCUUUGAUUAGGGACAAUGGAAACCGGCCUGAGGGCACGGGUGAAAGCAGUUGAGUGUAGAGGAGGCUCUGCAGCAGAAGCCAGAGGACACAGGAGCCAGUGAAGACACACAAUAAGUCAGAAAGGAGGGAUCUUUGCAGCCCCAAAAGUAGAAAUUCUUACCAUCUACUGCAAAGAGCAAAAGUUGAAAAUUGGUCUGAUUUCUAUCUAAAUGUGCUUACAUAUUCGUGUUCUGUUAAAUACUUCUGUAACCUGUGUGUCUCACAUAAAUGCAGCUUUCUUUAGUUUUGGAAAUAAAUCACAUGAAUCCUGAAUAGUAGUCUUUAAUAAUUUGCUUAGUUGUAGGGCAGUGUUGUGUUUUCAGAAGGCAAGUGUAUUUGCUAGAAGAGUGAGCUGGGAGGUGUGAACCACAUCGUCACAUCUGCUGUAAGCCUAGCCGUUCAUAAUACGGAGUUACAGUUAGGACACGUCGCCCUGAAGAGCUACCAUCGAAUGUGUGCUCAUCAAAUGCCUGGCAGCGUCCUCGGUGCUUCACCUGCCAUAGCCGACAGUGGCUGACCUCCCAUGCCUGUUGCCUUUUCUUUCUGUUGGAUCAGGGAUACACUGCCAUGUGUGUUAAGAAAAGCUGGCCUUACCUACAGGGCUGGCCAGUCCCGGUCACGUUUCUAGUAAGCCAUUGCCUUACAUAAGGGUAACGGCAUGGGACGCUAUCUUAGCCAAUGUGAUAAAAGUGGACAUGAGGUGAGAGGCUUCAGAGAGAGGUUUUAAAAAAGAGACAAAAGCAGGACGUUGCCUCUCUUCCUCCUCUCCACGUGUCCUACCCGGAUGUGAAGCCAAAACAGAUGCAGGCUUAGUGCAACCAUGGGGAACCCAGCAUAAGCACAGAUUCAACAGCAGAAGAGUGGCAGAGGGAGAAGGUGAAAGGAACCUAGGUUUUCCUGUCCUUGUUGAGUCAUUCAGUUAAAAAUCCCUGGAAUUUUCCUCUCUCCGGCAGUGUGUUUUGUGGGAUAAUGAGUUGCCUUAUUGGGGUUGGCUUGCUAGUCGGGAUGUUUCGCUCCCAUCAACAUCCAUACGCUUGCUCUGUGAACCAAUGACCUGAUGAGGUAGUAUUAGCACCACCAUCAUUAUGCUGAGGAUGAGAUUUAUGGCACAGUGGUUCAGUAGCUUGCCCAAGGCCAUGCGGCUGGUAGGUUCUGGAGGAGGGCUCAGGGCACCCCCUGAGCUACCCCUGCUGGCCAUUGCACCACCCCAUAAAGCUGCUGGCAGUCACUUCUCUGAGGGGUUAGCAUGUAAGAAAUGUCCUCCUGAAUGCUGGCCAGACAAAUGGAAAUCUGCCAGGGUUGGGUACCCCCAUGACAGCAGCCAGCCUGCCCUCUUAGUCCCUGACAGCUGCAGUGACAGCAUCUGUGAUUGCAAAGCGUGACAAUUUAUAUCUCUCAUUUCAUCACACCAUCUAUCAGCAGACAGUCAGGCUUUAAAAAUCAAUCCCACACUGACUCAGUCCCCAGCAGAGAUGGCCUCUGACAACAGUAUCCACACUGCAGGCUGGACAAGGGCCCUAUUAAUUUUGAGACUCAGCCAAAUUUCCUUCUGACCCUAAGCUGGUGAAUCCCUGCUCCUUUGCUUUGGUUGGGGUUGGUGUGAGCUAAGGCUGUGAUCCCAUUUGCUCCUAUGGCCUCCAGGUGGCCUGGGCCUCCAUGAAUGGGCCACAUGGUCAUACUGAAUGCUUGAUUACACUCAGACCUAGCAGUCGUCUGGGCGCAGCUGGUUUAUGGAUCACUUUGUCACAAUGUUCCAUCCUUCCAGGUCCCCAUCCCCGCGGUGGGAAAACAUUGCUUUAGGCAGUGCUAGAGGACUUCAGCAGGCAUUGGCAGCUUCUGGAUUCAGGAUUAGAACAAAGAAGGAGGAGUCACAGCAAAGAUAGGAACAGAAGGCAGAGAGAACAGACAGAUGGGGGUGUUUGAGAAGGAGGGCCUUUGAGACCUCAGGGAGUGGGAGACACUGGCUCGAGAAUAAUAAUAAUGGCAAUUUCUCUCAUCUGUGUUUUCAGGGCAUGGACUGGAACUCCCAAUACCCCUGACAUGGGCUGAGUCAACGUGGUCAUGAACAUGUGACAGGAGGCAGCAGAAGUUGCAGAGAAGAGUGAGGCACGUUUGAAAAAGGCUGAAAAAUGUUUCUGUCCAGGCAAGGGUGUGUGCUGAAUGACUCAAGGAUUUUUUGGUGCAUUGAAUGAACAGCGGGACAUUGGACACCUGCUGAUCCAUCACCCCGGGCCCGGGCAGGCCCGUGGAUGAAGAGAGAUGGAGAAGACCAGGCAUGAGACUGUGGAGAAGCCACACCACCAGAAACCCCUGCCCCAUGCGCCGUCCAGCCCACACCUGUGGAUGCACGGGGGAUUGCAGGCAGGGCUCCCACCGUGGACUCAGGAACAGGCAGGGAAGCUGCUGCCUCACCAGGCGAAGGGGCCAGGAGGGGGAGGCGGAGAGGCCCGUCUAGCCCCUGCGGCUGUCACCGUGGUGCCUCCUCACUGGCCAGUGCGGUCGCGCCUCAGCUUCGUUAAUAGGGGAGGGGGCCUAAGAGUUUUCACGUCCAGGCUCGGGCAGUGGGGAGGCAGGCAGGAGUGGCCGCUGGUUUUUCAGACCUCCCAGGGAGGCCGAGGAAAUGGCCCGUCCUGGAGUGGGCGUGGUUCUGUCUUCAGAUGGAUGCUGGAGGGUUGGGCUGCGUGGGACCCUGGGCCCUGCUGCUUCCCGGAGGAUGCGCUGUCCGGGGCUGCACAGGUUGGCUGUGUUUUUUGGAUGCUUGAUAUUUUGUUUUUUCUUCUCUUCACUCUGUCAUGAAACUGGCAAUAGUAGUUUGUAAAUAAAUAUGUGUUAUAGAUGAAUAUUUGCUAUGAGUAAAUUAAUAAAGGAGUGAAUAAAUGAGCGAUUGAUGUAGGGCCUGUCCUGUCUCAGGGAGCCCCACGAAGGCCUGCGCGCCGGCCAGAGCCUGCCUGCCUGCCAGGGUACUGGGACGUCACUCUCAAAGCGGCGGGACCCAGCCGCUGAUCUUGCUGAGGAGGCCCGGUCUCAGAAAACUGAGCGGCUGCUUCUGCAGACCCUGCAUCCUCCCCUCCCUGGAGAAAGAAGCUCUGGCUGAGUCCUGGGACCGAACCCUUGGGUGCCACAGAAACGGGCUUUGCUGCCUGUCAGUCAAGCGGCGGGAGAAACAGACCUGGGGAGGAGGAGGCUGGGAGGGCUGUGUUUUCUGCACAGCGAGUAGCUCCUUAGCCUGGUGCCAUUUCUCUCCAAACACCCUGAAGGUUGAGUCCAGGGUGAAGAUGUAGAGGCAAGUUUUGGGGGGAUGGAGUGGGCUUGGAGGGAUGCUGGCGCCUUAGCAGGCUGUGCUCCUGAGGUGCCCAGUGUCUGCGGGCACAGGAACAUGUUGCCGAGGGCAUUUGGGUGUGGGUGGGGUGGGGAAAGGGAGACAGGGCUGUCUCUUUUAAUGGGUAUCUGCGAGCAUGUGAUUGUAAGAGAGGAAGAAGUAGGGGAGGAAGAAGGCCUCCUUGGGAGGUGCGUCAUCCUGAGGAAGGCUGAACAAUGAGGGUCUUGGAGAGUCAAUUCAGAAGCACAACCUUGCAGAGCAGGCAAAAACAAUAGGGCUUCUUGAGGCUGCCCGGGCACUCAUGCAAUCACCAUUUCCUGCUGUGAAUGAGCCUACAUUUUGUUGGGGAAGAGACGCAACGACGCCAAACGAUGGACUCUGAGUCAACGAUAAGAUGAAACAAAAUUAAAACAAAGUAGGAAAUCAAGAGUGGCUGCUGUGAUGGCGUUGCGGAGAUGAUGUUUGCUUUGAGAACUGGACAAGUGAGCCCCUGAGCUGCAUCUGCACCCAGAGGCUGAGCCGGUGCACAGGACUUGCAGAGGGAUGGGCCUGGGCUUGUAGAGCAGCACAACGGCCCCAGGCCUGGAGGAGCAAGGGUGGGAAGGGGGGCAGGCCAGCUCCUGCCAGGCUGGAGAAGGACUCGGACCUCAGGCCACCUGUGCCUGGGUGAUUGUGAACUUGUAACAAAUGUGAUCUUAUUUAUGUUUUGAAAAAGGCAACACAAACCAACACGAGCCGUGUGAGGAUCAGGUGACAGCUGCCCAAAAGCUGACACAAGGAACAAGCCUGGAGGAGUGAGGAUGGGUGCUGUGAAGGAGGUUGUGCAGCUGGGCCCGCAGUCGGACCUGGUGAGAUCAGAGGAGGGGGUGCCACCAGUCUGUGGACGAAGAUGAGAAGCUGGAAUAGAGCAGAAAACAGGAGGCUGCCACUCUCCAUCUUUCCCAAAGUCACUCCAGGAGCAAGGGUGUCAUUUACUGAAAUGACAGACUCUCCAUUUCACAUUUUUCCCCCAAGUGCAGAGUGCAGGGAAGCAGAUGGGCUAAAUUUUUAGAGUCAGGGUUAUUAAUGUAUACUUUACAUAGUAAACUUUCCCCUUUUAAGUGUGCAGGCCUGAGGUUUGCCAAAUAUGUGUAGGCAUUUAAUCACCACCACGAUCAAGAUGUAGAAUAUUCCCACUAUCAAAAAGUUUGCUGUGUCCCUUGAUGGUCAUGCCCCAUUCCACAGCCCCAGCCCCAGCCCCUGGAGAUUGCUGUCUGCUUUAUGUUCCAGUGGUUUUAUCUUUUCCAGACUGUAUGGAUGUGAAUGGAAUCAGAUGUGAUUCCAAGGUGUUUUAUCUUUUCCAGAUGUGAAUGGAAUCAGAUGUACGAAAUCCUAUGGUAGGGGGUCUUCUGAGUCUAGCUCCUUUUGUUUAGCGUGAUGCAUUUGAAAUUAAUCCAUGUCUCAGGCAUCAGGAGUUCAUUUCUUUUUCUGCUGAGUAGUAUUUCAUUGUAUGGAUGUACUGCAAUUUGCCUAUCCAUUCACCUGUUGAUGUACAUUUGAGAUUUUUGGCAAUUAUGAAUAAAGCUGCUAUAAACAGACAUGGAUUUUAUGUAGACACGUCUUCAUUUCUGUUGAGUAAAUAACAAGGCAUGAGAUUUCUGGGCCAUAGGGUAAAUGUGUGUUUCACUUUAUAAGAAACUGACAAGCUGUUUCCAAAGCGGUUGCUCCAUUUUGCAUUGUGUGAGCGUUUUAGCUGUUCUGCGUCCUUUCCAGCACCUGGUGUGCCCAUUUAAAAGACUUCAGCCACUCUCAAUAGGUGUGUAGGACUGGACUUAAAUUUAAAUUUGAGAGGCAUCAGUAUGUGUGUGUGUGCCUUUCACACCUCCACAGUCACCGGCCACAUGCACUCGUAAGGAGUGAACACACACAGCAGCUGGGAAAGGUCUGAGCAAAGGGCCAUGGGCAGGGCACCCAGCUAGACAGAAGGAAAUCAAGGACCGUGCUCUAUGGUCCAACCAAGAAAGGAUUUUAAAAAGAGAGAGUGAGCUAGUGGCCAAUUGUUGCUGAAUGCCUGCAUAUGAUAAAGAGUGAAAAUUGAGCACUGGAUUUAGAAAGAUGGUGGUUUUUGUUGACCUUGACAAGAGCAGUUCCAGGGUUGCAGCAGUGAUGAGACCUGCAUGAGAGGGAGUUCAGGAGGGCAGGGACUUGGGCGAUGGGACUGGCUCCUCAUCCAAGAUAGGGCAGUGGAGUCUGCAGGCUGUGUCUCCAAUUUUCUCCUUUCUCCUUAGUAAUAGAAAUCUAAAUUUAUUUAG
This 14840-nucleotide long non-coding RNA is filed under the name Homo sapiens (human). RNAcentral describes it as "non-protein coding lnc-GLB1L2-1:23". The record is from RNAcentral. Lineage: Eukaryota; Metazoa; Chordata; Mammalia; Primates; Hominidae.